AGUAACAACCAUUUGAGUCUGGGAUUUCUGAAUGGGGAAACCCACGUGCAUAAGCACGUAUCCUUACCUGAAUACAUAGGGUAAGGAGGCGAACCGGGGGAACUGAAACAUCUAAGUACCCCGAGGAAAAGAAAUCAACCGAGAUUCCGAAAGUAGCGGCGAGCGAAAUUGGACUAGCCCUUAAGCUUUACACGCGUUAGACGAACGGUCUGGAAAGUCCGACGAUACAGGGUGAUAGUCCCGUAGUUGACGACGUGUGUUCAGUGAAAUCGAGUAGGGCGGGACACGUGAUAUCCUGUCUGAA
RNAcentral lists this ribosomal RNA (304 nucleotides) under Vibrio parahaemolyticus. RNAcentral's name for it is "partial 23S ribosomal RNA". It matches the Rfam family "Bacterial large subunit ribosomal RNA", at positions 87 to 442 of the family's 2925-position model. The record is from RNAcentral. Lineage: Bacteria; Pseudomonadati; Pseudomonadota; Gammaproteobacteria; Vibrionales; Vibrionaceae.